GAUGAACGCUGACAGAAUGCUUAACACAUGCAAGUCUACUUGAACUUCGGCUUGCGUGGCGGACGGGUGAGUAACGCGUACAGAACUUGCCUCACAGUUAGGGACCACAUCUGGAAACGAAUGCUAAUACCUGAUAUUAUGAUUUUAGGGCAUCCUAAAUUUAUGAAAGCUAUAUGCGCUGUGAGAGAGCUUUGCGUCCCAUUAGCUAGUUGGAGAGGUAACGGCUCACCAAGGCGAGGAUGGGUAGCCGGCCUGAGAGGGUGAACGGCCACAAGGGGACUGAGACACGGCCAUUACUCCUACGGGAGGCAGCAUUGGGGAAUAUUGGACAAUGGACCAAAAGUCUGAUCCAGCAAUUCUGUGUGCACGAUGACGUUUUUCGGAAUGUAAAGUGCUUUCAGUUGGGAAGAAAAAAAUGACGGUACCAACAGAAGAAGUGACGGCUAAAUACGUG
RNAcentral lists this ribosomal RNA (454 nucleotides) under uncultured bacterium. Its description in RNAcentral is "partial 16S ribosomal RNA". It matches the Rfam family "Bacterial small subunit ribosomal RNA", at positions 28 to 507 of the family's 1533-position model. The record is from RNAcentral.